This 253-nucleotide ribosomal RNA is filed under the name uncultured bacterium. RNAcentral's name for it is "partial 16S ribosomal RNA". It matches the Rfam family "Bacterial small subunit ribosomal RNA", at positions 524 to 776 of the family's 1533-position model. The record is from RNAcentral.
UACAGAGGUCUCAAGCGUUGUUCGGAUUCAUUGGGCGUAAAGGGUGCGUAGGUGGCGAAGUAAGUCGGGUGUGAAAUCUCGGGGCUUAACCCCGAAACUGCAUUCGAUACUGCUUUGCUCGAGGACUGGAGAGGAGAUUGGAAUUCCCAGUGUAGCGGUGAAAUGCGUAGAUAUUGGGAGGAACACCAGUGGCGAAGGCGGCUCACUGGACCGGAACUGACGCUGAGGCGCGAAAGCGUGGGGAGCAAACGGG